Long non-coding RNA from Megalops cyprinoides (Indo-Pacific tarpon), 469 nucleotides. RefSeq lists it as uncharacterized. The record is from RefSeq and is a predicted model, not a curated record. NCBI's taxonomy places the organism in Eukaryota, Metazoa, Chordata, Actinopteri, Elopiformes, Megalopidae. The transcript has 3 exons.
UGCACACGCACACAGGCUCACGGAGACGCACAGAACACAACAAAAAUGUCAGACUCUGAAAAUUCAGCGACUGCUCCACCUGAGGCUCCCGUCCCCGCUCCCUGCCAGGCCAUCAAGGCGGAUCUGGAGAAAUGUGUGAAGGAGAAGGGAGAAGAAGGCUGCAAAGAGCUGAUGGAGGCGUUCCAGGCAUGUCUGAAGACUGCUGCUGAAACCUCAUGAGGGGGAGAGAUCAACACCUGAGAAAUGUCCACUGCACUGAGUCCUCCACUUUCCCAGCAUUCCCUUCUGCACAUUGCACUGGACUCAAUCAUCUUUGGGAUUGGGGGAUGGGCUGAAUGGAAACAGUGGGAACUACAGAAAUGCCCCCAUAUAAACCUGAAAUGCAAUCUUCCUGUCCCUAUACAACUGAUUACACUGGUUUUUAUACCAUGUCAUAAAACCCCUUAGGUUUUAAAUGUAAAUUGUCUUG